This 413-nucleotide ribosomal RNA is filed under the name Ureibacillus thermosphaericus. RNAcentral describes it as "bacterial SSU rRNA". It matches the Rfam family "Bacterial small subunit ribosomal RNA", at positions 505 to 916 of the family's 1533-position model. Lineage: Bacteria; Bacillati; Bacillota; Bacilli; Caryophanales; Caryophanaceae. The record is from RNAcentral.
GUGCCAGCAGCCGCGGUAAUACGUAGGUGGCAAGCGUUGUCCGGAAUUAUUGGGCGUAAAGCGCGCGCAGGCGGUUCUCUUAAGUCUGAUGUGAAAGCCCCCGGCUCAACCGGGGAGGGUCAUUGGAAACUGGGAGACUUGAGUGCAGGAGAGGGAAGUGGAAUUCCAUGUGUAGCGGUGAAAUGCGUAGAGAUAUGGAGGAACACCAGUGGCGAAGGCGGCUUCCUGGCCUGUAACUGACGCUGAGGCGCGAAAGCGUGGGGAGCAAACAGGAUUAGAUACCCUGGUAGUCCACGCCGUAAACGAUGAGUGCUAGGUGUUAGGGGGUUUCCGCCCCUUAGUGCUGCASSUAACGCAUUAAGCACUCCGCCUGGGGAGUACGGCGCAAGACUGAAACUCAAAGGAAUUGACGG